UGGAUGUGACAUGGGAGGGAGAAAGC
Molecule: non-coding RNA, 26 nt
Filed under: Rattus norvegicus (Norway rat)
Lineage: Eukaryota; Metazoa; Chordata; Mammalia; Rodentia; Muridae
Source: RNAcentral